GUGGGCUUUUAAAUGAUGAAAUAUUGGAGAUUUGUAGAAAUUCUGUGACAUCUGUGUGUAUGAUUACUGUCAUGAUAGAACAAGCCAAGACAAUUACAGGGAAUUAGAUCAUUUGUACAAUUGUCCUAUCAUUUGCCCAAUUAUACAAACAUUCCUCCGUCUGUUUCCCAGAUGUUCCAAAAAUGUUAUUAUUUUAAGAGAUAAGAG
RNAcentral lists this long non-coding RNA (207 nucleotides) under Mytilus galloprovincialis (Mediterranean mussel). Lineage: Eukaryota; Metazoa; Mollusca; Bivalvia; Mytilida; Mytilidae. The record is from RNAcentral.